Molecule: non-coding RNA, 23 nt
Filed under: Cricetulus griseus (Chinese hamster)
Lineage: Eukaryota; Metazoa; Chordata; Mammalia; Rodentia; Cricetidae
Source: RNAcentral
ACUCUUUCAGAUGGCUCAGUAGU